Molecule: ribosomal RNA, 497 nt
Filed under: uncultured bacterium
Lineage: Bacteria
Description: partial 16S ribosomal RNA
Rfam family: Bacterial small subunit ribosomal RNA
Source: RNAcentral
GAUGAACGCUGGCGGCGUGCCUAAUACAUGCAAGUCGAGCGAACAGGUGAGGAGCUUGCUCCUCUGACGUUAGCGGCGGACGGGUGAGUAACACGUGGAUAACCUACCUAUAAGACUGGGAUAACUUCGGGAAACCGGAGCUAAUACCGGAUAAUAUAUUGAACCGCAUGGUUCAAUAGUGAAAGACGGUUUUGCUGUCACUUAUAGAUGGAUCCGCGCCGCAUUAGCUAGUUGGUAAGGUAACGGCUUACCAAGGCAACGAUGCGUAGCCGACCUGAGAGGGUGAUCGGCCACACUGGAACUGGGACACGGUCCAGACUCCUACGGGAGGCAGCAGUAGGGAAUCUUCCGCAAUGGGCGAAAGCCUGACGGAGCAACGCCGCGUGAGUGAUGAAGGUCUUCGGAGCGUAAAACUCUGUUAUUAGGGAAGAACAAAUGUGUAAGUAACUAUGCACGUCUUGACGGUACCUAAUCAGAAAGCCACGGCUAACUACGUG